CCUACGGGUGGCAGCAGUAGGGAAUAUUGCUCAAUGGGGGAAACUCUGAAGCAGCAACGCCGCGUGGAGGAUGACGGUUUUCGGAUUGUAAACUCCUUUUGUUAGAGAAGAUAAUGACAGUCUCUUACGAAUAAGCACCGUCUAACUCCGUUCCAGCAGCCGCGGUAAUACGGAGGUUGCAAGCGUUACUCGGAAUCACUGGGCGUAAAGAGCGCGUAGGCGGGAUAGUAAGUCAGAUGUGAAAUCGUAUGGCUUAACCAUAGAACUGCAUUUGAAACUGUUAUUCUAGAGUAUGGGAGAGGUAGGUGGAAUUCUUGGUGUAGGGGUAAAAUGCGUAGAGAUCAAGAGGAAUACUGAUUGCGAAGGCGGCCUGCUAGAACAUAACUGACGCUGAUGCGCGAAAGCGUGGGGAGCAAACAGGAUUAGAUACCCGGGUAGUC
RNAcentral lists this ribosomal RNA (440 nucleotides) under uncultured bacterium. Its description in RNAcentral is "partial 16S ribosomal RNA". It matches the Rfam family "Bacterial small subunit ribosomal RNA", at positions 338 to 795 of the family's 1533-position model. The record is from RNAcentral.